AGACCUCAGGUAAGAUCACCUCUUUUGUGAGAACUUUGCAAACAAGGUGGCAGUGAGAGCGAGAACAAGAGGAAGAGAUAGAUGAAGAGCGAGAGGAGUAGAACCAGGACAAUAACAAAGAAGGGGACCAAGCAAUAGACAGAGACAUAUUUCUGAAGACAUUAGAGCCAGUUUGGUGGACCAUGUCAUAAAUCAUUGCCUGACGAUAAGGGAGGUUGGGCAGAGAGUCCAGCCCAACCUAAGUCGCUACACGGUAGCAUCCAUAAUAUGGACAUUUAGACUGGAAAACAGAACUGCCAGACGACCUCCUGAGGGUGGAAGGCAACGUCUGUUCACCAUGAACAGGAACUGGCCAUUGUCAAUCUAGUGUUGGCAAACAACACCAUCCGCCUACAUCAACUAAUGAGAGCAAAUUAUCGCAGAUUCCACAACAUUCAAUAAUAUCAACCGUGUCAGUAUGUCGACACUCUGCCGCAUCUUACGAUGGAGCAGCUGUCCAGGGUUCCAUUUGAGAGGAACAGUGUUAGAGUCAAAGACCCUCACUAUGACUAUGUGCAAAGAGUCCUGGACGUUGAUGCAGCUGCACAGCCUCAUUAGUUUAUUUCAUUGAUGAAGCUGAAUUCAAUCUAUUUAAAACCAGGCAUUGGGGCCGAAACGUUAUAGAACAAACAGCUGUUAUGAAUGUCCCUGGGCAGCGCAGGGGAAAUAUCCCCUUGUGUGCCGCCAUUAGUCUGCAAGGAGUUCUCCAUCACCAUGUCACCCUCGGUCCCUACAAUACUGCACACAUAAUCAUAUUUCUGGAUGCACUACAUAAUGUAGUUGUACAGGACAGACCAGAGCAGCCCAGGUUUGUUGUCAUCUGGGAUAAUGUUAAUUUCCAUCGGGUUGCUCUGGUCAGGGACUGGUUCACUAACCACAAUAACUUCACAGUUGUACAGGACGGACCAGAGCAGCCCAGGUUCGUUGUCAUCUGGGAUAAUGUUAAUUUCCACCGGGCUGCUCUGGUCAGGGACUGGUUCACUAACCACAAUAACUUCACAGUUGUAUACUUGCCUCCUUACUCCCCAUUUCUCAAUCCGAUUGAGGAAUUAUUUUCGGCUUGGCGUUAGAAAGUGUAUGACCGCCAACCACAUGCCCGCCUGCAAGCAAUGGAAUAGGCAUGUGGAGACAUUGAGGUGGGGUCAGUCCAGUGUUGGAUAUGGCACGCAAGGCGAUAUUUUCCCCGUUGCCUAGCCAGGGGGGAUAUUGCGUGUGAUGUGGAUGAGGUGAUGUGGCCAGACCCUAACAGAAGGUGGGAUCCAUAAAACAUCCACCCCAUCCAUUACAAUACUAUUUUUUUUUGUUUACCAUUGCACUGUAAUUUUACUGUAUUUUUUUUUUCCUGUGAGUUUACAGUAACAUAUUGUAUUGAUUACUGUACUGUAAUUCUACUUUGUGUUUAUUUGUUGUUGUAAAAACCUGCAAUGGCAAAAAAUAAGCUGUCUACAUUUUUUUCUGAAGCCUUUCUAUUUUGUGUUCAUUGAAAUGUGAGUAGAUGUGCUGCACUGGAACAAUCUUUCACAGAAGCCUGUAUGAGAA
This is a non-coding RNA of Oncorhynchus mykiss (rainbow trout), 1578 nucleotides long. The record is from RefSeq and is a predicted model, not a curated record. NCBI's taxonomy places the organism in Eukaryota, Metazoa, Chordata, Actinopteri, Salmoniformes, Salmonidae.